AGAGAUGGACAUUUAAAAAAGUGAAUACGUUUAUAAAGUGAAAAGGUUACAGUUCGCUAAGGCUAAUGUGCUAUGAAGAAAAAAAUGUAGAACUCGCUGGAGUGCAGCUGGGACAGCGUCUGUGACGUCACAGUAGUGCACAGCGAGGCUCCACCCCACACUCACUCCCGGCCCCGCCCACAGCGACUUCUGGUGCUGAGCGCUCCAGGCAUGGAGAAAGCAGAGACUGGGCGUCCCAGGGAACACAAGAGCCCGUGUUCAAAGACUGGGAGAAAGCAGGAGUUCAGGGAAAGAGACAGAAGAGGAAAUUGGAUCUAUGCUUCCAAGUUACGUAGCCAAGACUGGAGCCGGGCUUUAAAAGCCCGCUACCCUCCCCACAUCUGCUCAGAUGUGCGACCCCAUCCGUUGAGCCGCGUUCAGUGAGAGCCUGCACGUGUCACCAGAGACACGGAGAUGAAGAAGGCUGUGCUUCAGGAUGUCGGGCGAGGCACCAAAGCUUUCCUGCCUUCUAACAUUCAGAUGAAAAUCCCAGGACGGGUUAUCGCUCCCUCCAUCAAGGCCGCUGAGAAGGCAGAAGAGGUUGGACGAUGCUCCCUGGCCUUCCUUGUAAUGGCCAGACUGCUUUUCAUUUUGCUCUGGAAUCGCUCCCACCAGCCCUGCUGACUUCAUUACGGUCCUCGCAGCCACAGCGUGGGGGAGGGAGCCUGCAGCCCAGGCACGGCUAACCUCUCUCCGGGGCACCUUCUUCUUUCUGAAGAGAAACAAGGGGCGGGUUGGGUCUCUCUGCAGAAGCCACUCUGUCUUGAACACAAUUUCCUGGGCUGUGGAAGUCAGCGGCGACCGCGGCCUUUACAGUAACUGCCAAGCCUAAUGGCAUCUUGUGAUGAGGUUUUACUGUAAACAGCGGAGAGGGUGGAGGGCAGUGAGGCCCCGCUUCCUGCUGGCAUCCAGUGCUUUGUCCCAUCUCAGAAAUAACACCUCUCACGUGGGCUUCUUUACCAGCCGUGCACAUUGUUCCAUGUGCGGGGAUCCUGGGAUUAAU
Long non-coding RNA from Eptesicus fuscus (big brown bat), 1042 nucleotides. RefSeq lists it as uncharacterized. The record is from RefSeq and is a predicted model, not a curated record. The transcript is spliced from 4 exons. Lineage: Eukaryota; Metazoa; Chordata; Mammalia; Chiroptera; Vespertilionidae.